GCUGUUUUUUGUUAUUAUCUUGAAUAUUAUUAUAGAUAGAGAUAAACUGUAAAAAGCAAUAAAUGUCGGCAAAGUAAGAUCUACAAAUAAGUCAACAUGACCGAAAUGGUCAGUUGACCCCUUAAGAAGUUAUUGCCCUUUAUAGUCAAUUUUUAACCAUUUUUCGUAAAUCUUAGUUAUCUUUUACAAAAAUCUUCUCCUCUGAAACUACUGGGCCAAGUUCAUUAUAGAUAGAGAUAAUUGUAAGCAGCAAGAAU
Molecule: long non-coding RNA, 257 nt
Filed under: Mytilus galloprovincialis (Mediterranean mussel)
Lineage: Eukaryota; Metazoa; Mollusca; Bivalvia; Mytilida; Mytilidae
Source: RNAcentral